Molecule: ribosomal RNA, 253 nt
Filed under: uncultured bacterium
Lineage: Bacteria
Description: partial 16S ribosomal RNA
Rfam family: Bacterial small subunit ribosomal RNA
Source: RNAcentral
UACGUAGGGUGCGAGCGUUAAUCGGAAUUACUGGGCGUAAAGCGUGCGCAGGCGGUUUUGUAAGCCAGGUGUGAAAUCCCCGGGCUCAACCUGGGAAUGGCAUUUGGGACUGCAAGGCUGGAGUGCGGCAGAGGAGACUGGAAUUCCUGGUGUAGCAGUGAAAUGCGUAGAUAUCAGGAGGAACACCGAUGGCGAAGGCAGGUCUCUGGGCUGACACUGACGCUCAUGCACGAAAGCGUGGGUAGCAAACAGG